UACGUAGGGGGCAAGCGUUGUCCGGAAUCAUUGGGCGUAAAGAGCGUGUAGGCGGCCCGAUAAGUCCGCUGUGAAAGUCCAGGGCUCAACCCUGGGAUGCCGGUGGAUACUGUCGGGCUCGAGUCCGGAAGAGGAGUGUGGAAUUCCUGGUGUAGCGGUGAAAUGCGCAGAUAUCAGGAGGAACACCAAUGGCGAAGGCAGGUCUCUGGGCCACUACUGACGCUGAGAAGCGAAAGCGUGGGGAGCGAACAGG
RNAcentral lists this ribosomal RNA (253 nucleotides) under uncultured bacterium. Its description in RNAcentral is "partial 16S ribosomal RNA". It matches the Rfam family "Bacterial small subunit ribosomal RNA", at positions 524 to 776 of the family's 1533-position model. The record is from RNAcentral.